GAGUUUGAUCGUGGCUCAGGACGAACGCUGGCGGCGUGCCUAAUACAUGCAAGUAGAACGCUGAGGUUUGGUGUUUACACUAGACUGAUGAGUUGCGAACGGGUGAGUAACGCGUAGGUAACCUGCCUCAUAGCGGGGGGAUAACUAUUGGAAACGAUAGCUAAUACCGCAUAAGAGUAAUUAACACAUGUUAGUUAUUUAAAAGGAGCAAUUGCUUCACUGUGAGAUGGACCCGCGUUGUAUUAGCUAGUUGGUGAGGUAAAGGGCUCACCAAGGCGACGAUACAUAGCCGACCUGAGAGGGUGAUCGGCCGACACUGGGACUGAGACACGGCCCAGACUCCUACGGGAGGCAGCAGUAGGGAAUCUUCGGCAAUGGACGGAAGUCUGACCGAGCAACG
RNAcentral lists this ribosomal RNA (400 nucleotides) under uncultured microorganism. Its description in RNAcentral is "bacterial SSU rRNA". It matches the Rfam family "Bacterial small subunit ribosomal RNA", at positions 9 to 396 of the family's 1533-position model. The record is from RNAcentral.